CUUGCUUCCUGCAUAACCCCAUACGGGCCAUACCGGCGUCCUGCAACUAGCUAUGAACGGAAGGAUCAUGCGCAUACUGCACAUGGACACAUCUAGGUAGAUCUUGGACGUCUAAUUGGGUGUUUAGGAGCUCUAAUUGGGCGUUAGUGGAGUACGAGGAGUGAGGUCAGGGGUGCUUAAUUAUUAUUCCAUAAAGUUUCUUUAUUACGGGUUGUUAGGAUGGAAAGGGACCCUUCAAAAUCAACCUGAAAUUAAGUCAAGACAAAGAAAUAUUCUCUGUGGGCUUAGAUCCCCAAUGACCAGGGAGCUAAAUUAAAUAGGAUUUUUCUCCAUGGCCUGUACUAGUGAUAUAUGUUUUCAUAGUUUAAGACUAUGCCUAUUAGUUUUUGAUAUUAAUCAUGUGCCUUGCUCCAUGGCGGAAACAGACAAUACCAAUUCUGAAACAGUUUCGGUUAGUGGCAGAAGUUCACAUGGUUUCUGCCUUGGGAAUUUCCGAAGACCACAGAAAUCAUGUGAGAAUGAAGAGAGCUGUGGAUCUUGCAAUUGUUGGAGGGGUUUUGUUCUUAUGACUUAUGUAUGAUUGUGCAGGUACUGGAAUUAACAAGCCGGAUUACCUUGCGACGGUGGAUUUGGACCCCGCCUCUCCUACAUACUCCCAAGUGAUCCACAGGCUCCCAGUGACCCACAUUGGUGACGAGCUGCAUCACUCUGGCUGGAACUCUUGCAGCUCCUGCCAUGGUGAUCCAUCAGCAAAACGCC
This 759-nucleotide long non-coding RNA is filed under the name Setaria italica (foxtail millet). RNAcentral describes it as "long non-coding RNA (SITA_LNC004148)". The record is from RNAcentral. Lineage: Eukaryota; Viridiplantae; Streptophyta; Magnoliopsida; Poales; Poaceae.